GGGAAUGUGGCUUAGUGGUAGAGUGCUUGCCUAGCAUGCAAGCACUAGGUUCAAUUCCUUGGUACCA
This 67-nucleotide transfer RNA is filed under the name Dipodomys ordii (Ord's kangaroo rat). It matches the Rfam family "tRNA". From Rfam's summary of the family: Transfer RNA (tRNA) molecules are approximately 80 nucleotides in length. The record is from Rfam by way of RNAcentral. Lineage: Eukaryota; Metazoa; Chordata; Mammalia; Rodentia; Heteromyidae.